GCCGAAAUAGCUCAGUUGGGAGGAAGCGUUAGACUGAAGAUCCUAAAGAUCCCUGUGGUUCAAUCGGGUUUCGGCA
This 76-nucleotide transfer RNA is filed under the name Trichonephila inaurata madagascariensis. It matches the Rfam family "tRNA". Rfam says of the family: Transfer RNA (tRNA) molecules are approximately 80 nucleotides in length. Their secondary structure includes four short double-helical elements and three loops (D, anti-codon, and T loops). Lineage: Eukaryota; Metazoa; Arthropoda; Arachnida; Araneae; Nephilidae. The record is from Rfam by way of RNAcentral.